RNAcentral lists this long non-coding RNA (1097 nucleotides) under Canis lupus familiaris (dog). Its description in RNAcentral is "lncRNA (ENSCAFG00040022728.1)". Lineage: Eukaryota; Metazoa; Chordata; Mammalia; Carnivora; Canidae. The record is from RNAcentral.
AUGAAUGAAAUAUUGAAGCUUGUCAUUUGGCUAGUGACUAUUACUUUGACCAGCUCUUUGACCAGCAUUUUUUAUCUAGUGGCAGAGCUGAAGCAGAUGUUGAUGCAGGACAGCUUGGCUAUGAAGAAUUCGUGGCGGGUGAGGAGGUUGGUGUUUGGAAGAACUGAUGACCAGCAUGAUGAGGAGAUUCCUCACCGUGGUGACCAGCUCAGUUUUCUAAACUGUGUUCCCUGGAUGUUAACAAGUGAUUCAAGAAGUUUCUGUGAUAUUUGAAGCCCGAGUGUCAUUGGGAGCUCAUGCUUGAAGCCUUGUCAGACAAAAGGGCUUAUCUGGGAAGUUAUGUCCUCAUGUCUCUGUCUCUCUCGAGUUCACGCCAUGGGAUCCACAAAGUUAUGUGUCCAUGUGGCGCGACUCCACCACACAGGCAAAUCUAUGCCCUUAAAUCGGAUGCAUGUGAAAUGGGAAAACAUAAUAAAAUGUGAUUUUAAGAUAUUGGCUCGUGAAAGCACCUGGGUGACUCACCAGUUGAGUGUCUCCCCUCGGCUCAAGGCAUGAUCCUGGGGUCCUGGGAUUGAGUCCCGACUUGGGUUUUUAUGAUCUACCUGCCAAAUUUCUACCCCGUCACUUCUUCCAUAUGGUUUAUGUGAGAAACAAAUUACUAAGUACUGCCCAUCAAGGGGAGGAAAAUGAAGCCUUGUUUUUCGUAUAGGGAGGACUACAAAGAAUUUACAAACGUAUUUUUAGAGAAUCACAACAUAUUUUUGUUGAGCACGUUUCUGUUGAGUGUAUGGUUGGGCCUUGCAAUGGAGAGGGGUGAAGCGGUGGCCGUCCAGGCUGUGUGGGGGGGCCAUCCAGCAGGAUGAUACAGGUCCGCUGCGUGUCCCCCGUCCGGAUUCCCCAAGGAGGAACACAGAAAACGGAGGCAACACUCCGCCAGGGCCGUUUCGUGUCCCUUUACACAGCCGUUUUGCCGGGCAGGGGCGCGCAGGCACCUGGCGGGGGGGGGGGGGGGGGGGCGCAUGUGACCCUUGGCCUGGGGGCGCUGAGGUUCGGGCCCCCGUCGGGGGUAGAGCGUCCGUAGAAACCCCAGAGCCCUG